GGCUGGUCCGAAGGCAGUGAGUUACCCCACUUGAUUGUUCACAGAUCGAACUCCCUGUUCCGCUCUUUCCCCCUUCUCAUUGCUGCACUUGACUGGUCUUAA
RNAcentral lists this Y RNA (102 nucleotides) under Propithecus coquereli (Coquerel's sifaka). RNAcentral's name for it is "Y RNA (ENSPCOG00000011578.1)". It matches the Rfam family "Y RNA". Rfam says of the family: Y RNAs are components of the Ro ribonucleoprotein particle (Ro RNP), in association with Ro60 and La proteins. The Y RNAs and Ro60 and La proteins are well conserved, but the function of the Ro RNP is not known. The record is from Rfam by way of RNAcentral. Lineage: Eukaryota; Metazoa; Chordata; Mammalia; Primates; Indriidae.